This 207-nucleotide ribosomal RNA is filed under the name uncultured bacterium. RNAcentral describes it as "partial 16S ribosomal RNA". It matches the Rfam family "Bacterial small subunit ribosomal RNA", at positions 134 to 334 of the family's 1533-position model. The record is from RNAcentral.
UACAGGGGGAUAACAGUUGGAAACAGGUGCUAAUACCGCAUAACAGUUUAUGCCGCAUGGCAUAAGAGUGAAAGGCGCUUUCGGGUGUCGCUGAUGGAUGGACCCGCGGUGCAUUAGCUAGUUGGUGAGGUAACGGCUCACCAAGGCCACGAUGCAUAGCCGACCUGAGAGGGUGAUCGGCCACACUGGGACUGAGACACGGCCCAG